This 502-nucleotide long non-coding RNA is filed under the name Microcebus murinus (gray mouse lemur). RNAcentral describes it as "lncRNA (ENSMICG00000048798.1)". Lineage: Eukaryota; Metazoa; Chordata; Mammalia; Primates; Cheirogaleidae. The record is from RNAcentral.
AAGGAAGCUGUCGCCCUCCAGCACCAUUAAGGUGAAUGUUGGAUGGGUGGUGGGUUGAGUGCUCCAUGGACUGGCCACGGGUGCCCAGGAUCUCCUGGACGACGCCUCUCUGCAGAAGGAAGUGACAAACAGAACGCCCAUGGAAGUGGCCACCAGGGCUGAAGAAACCCUCCAGGUUUUCUUCAAUCAUCAGCUCCUGGGAAGCAAAAGCAAGGUGGCAGAGGAAGCUCUGGAGACCAUUGGCCACCUCUUCUGUCUGCUGUCAGUUGAAAAUCUUGAGAGUCAUGUUUACUGGUUAACCAAAUGGUUCACGACUCUGACUUCCACAGCAGUGAGGCCACUCUACAUGUGCAAGUGUCUCUGCGGCGUCCUGAAAGCCCUGUACCGCAGCAAACACGGAGGUCGCAAGGUACAAUCCUGGGCAGAGGAGCUGGCAGGCAUCCUCCUGAAGCAGGUGAGUGCCGCGGCAGUAGAGCCAUCCUGGACUCCCCUUUCUCUCUGC